AACUUCGAAAGGAGCCAGGGGUCCAGGAGACAUGAGGGAAUGCCUUUCAUCCCAUGCAUGUUCUCUGUGAAGAAAGGCUCACAGCCAUCAACACAAGGCUGCACCUACUGUCCACACGGUUUGUAUGAGUUGACAGUGAGAAAUGAAAAGGCCCAUGGGAGUGGACAUGAAUUCAAUUCUCAGACCCACAUGGAACUGUUCACAAAUGCCCAAAACUCUAGCUUCAAGACAUCUCGUACCCUCUUCUAGCCCAAAGAGAAGCACGAGCUUACCUGUACAUAAUAUGAAUAAUCCAUUCUGCAGCAAGCAUGACAAUUUCCCUUGAAAAUAACUCUGUGAUUUCCAUCAGAUCAGGCAAUUGUUUAAAACUCAUCAUGAAAGUUGAGAGUUUCUGGUCCCAUACUUCAUUUAUUUUUCAUGUUAUUAAUUAUUGUAAUAAAUCAGCAGAAACAAUAAGA
This 458-nucleotide long non-coding RNA is filed under the name Mus musculus (house mouse). RNAcentral's name for it is "predicted gene, 33890". Lineage: Eukaryota; Metazoa; Chordata; Mammalia; Rodentia; Muridae. The record is from RNAcentral.